AUUUUCAGCAAAGGAUUGUCAUAUUUUCAAGAUGAACAAAUCUGUACUGUUGAUUGUUUUGCCAUGUUUGGUUGCCUUGGUAACUGUCAGCGCCCAGUGGGGAGGAGCAGGAUAUAACCAGUACUACCACCAACAGCUCGGCGCAUACAAUGCACAGAACAGACUGUACAAUUACGGAAACCAAGUUACUGCACAAGUCAAAAAUGCAAAACUCCUCAACUACCUGUUCGGAUUCCUCCUUCUUCUCCAAUUCACCAACGCCACCGGAAAUAACAACGGAUAAACAAAACUCUUAGUUUAAAGAUUACUCGAAAUACGGCUGAGGUGUAUCAUUGGACUCCUGGAUUGUGAUAUUUCAAAAAGCGGUCACUGCAUCAAAUCACAUUGUUGAAAUAAAAAAGUCUCACAUAAAA
This is a long non-coding RNA of Mytilus californianus (California mussel), 413 nucleotides long. RefSeq lists it as uncharacterized. The record is from RefSeq and is a predicted model, not a curated record. The transcript has 3 exons. NCBI's taxonomy places the organism in Eukaryota, Metazoa, Mollusca, Bivalvia, Mytilida, Mytilidae.